This 419-nucleotide ribosomal RNA is filed under the name uncultured bacterium. Its description in RNAcentral is "partial 16S ribosomal RNA". It matches the Rfam family "Bacterial small subunit ribosomal RNA", at positions 360 to 776 of the family's 1533-position model. The record is from RNAcentral.
AAUAUUGGUCAAUGGACGCAAGUCUGAACCAGCCACGUCGCGUGAAGGAAGACGGNCCNNCGGGUNGNAAACUUCUUUUGUAANNNNNUAAAGUGUAGUCAGCGUACUAUUUUGCAUGUACCUUACGAAUAAGGAUCGGCUAACUCCGUGCCAGCCGCCGCGGUAAUACGGAGGAUCCGAGCGUUACCCGGAUUUCUUGGGUUUAACGGGUGCGCAGGCGGGAGAUUAAGUCGGCGGUGAAAUUUUGCAGCUCAACUGUAAAAGUGCCUUCGAAACUGGUUUUCUUGAGUGUAGAUGAAGUAGGCGGAAUUUGUGGUGUAGCGGUGAAAUGCAUAGAUAUCACGAGGAACUCCGAUUGCGCAGGCAGCUUACUAAGCUACAACUGACGCUCAUGCACGAAGGCGUGGGGAUCAAACAGG